RNAcentral lists this transfer RNA (72 nucleotides) under Camelus bactrianus (Bactrian camel). It matches the Rfam family "tRNA". Rfam says of the family: Transfer RNA (tRNA) molecules are approximately 80 nucleotides in length. Lineage: Eukaryota; Metazoa; Chordata; Mammalia; Artiodactyla; Camelidae. RNAcentral also lists the same sequence under 1 other name. The record is from Rfam by way of RNAcentral.
GGAGGAUUCAGCUCAACGGUGGAGUGCGUGCCUAGAAAGCACGAGGUCUGGGGUUCAAUCCCUAGUACUCCA